RNAcentral lists this ribosomal RNA (253 nucleotides) under uncultured bacterium. RNAcentral describes it as "partial 16S ribosomal RNA". It matches the Rfam family "Bacterial small subunit ribosomal RNA", at positions 524 to 776 of the family's 1533-position model. The record is from RNAcentral.
UACAGAGGUCCCAAGCGUUGUUCGGAUUCAUUGGGCGUAAAGGGUGCGUAGGCGGCGCGGUAAGUCGGGUGUGAAAUCCCUGGGCUCAACCCAGGAACUGCGUCCGAUACUGGCAGGCUUGAAUUCGGGAGAGGGAUGCGGAAUUCCAGGUGUAGCGGUGAAAUGCGUAGAUAUCUGGAGGAACACCGGUGGCGAAGGCGGCAUCCUGGACCGAUAUUGACGCUGAGGCGCGAAAGCCAGGGGAGCAAACGGG